RNAcentral lists this ribosomal RNA (372 nucleotides) under uncultured organism. RNAcentral's name for it is "partial 16S ribosomal RNA". It matches the Rfam family "Bacterial small subunit ribosomal RNA", at positions 527 to 896 of the family's 1533-position model. The record is from RNAcentral.
GUAGGUGGCAAGCGUUGUCCGGAAUUAUUGGGCGUAAAGCGCGCGCAGGGCGGUCCUUUAAGUCUGAUGUGAAAGCCCACGGCUCAACCGUGGAGGGUCAUUGGAAACUGGGGGACUUGAGUACAGAAGAGGAAAGCGGAAUUCCAAGUGUAGCGGUGAAAUGCGUAGAGAUUUGGAGGAACACCAGUGGCGAAGGCGGCUUUCUGGCCUGUAACUGACGCUGAGGCGCGAAAGCGUGGGGAGCAAACAGGAUUAGAUACCCUGGUAGUCCACGCCGUAAACGAUGAGUGCUAAGUGUUAGGGGGUUUCCGCCCCUUAGUGCUGCAGCUAACGCAUUAAGCACUCCGCCUGGGGAGUACGGCCGCAAGGCUG